RNAcentral lists this transfer RNA (72 nucleotides) under Blattella germanica (German cockroach). Its description in RNAcentral is "tRNA-Pro (CGG) (tRNA-Pro-CGG-11-1)". It matches the Rfam family "tRNA". From Rfam's summary of the family: Transfer RNA (tRNA) molecules are approximately 80 nucleotides in length. Their secondary structure includes four short double-helical elements and three loops (D, anti-codon, and T loops). Further hydrogen bonds mediate the characteristic L-shaped molecular structure. tRNAs have two regions of fundamental functional importance: the anti-codon, which is responsible for specific mRNA codon recognition, and the 3' end, to which the tRNAs corresponding amino acid is attached (by aminoacyl-tRNA synthetases). tRNAs cope with the degeneracy of the genetic code in two manners: having more than one tRNA (with a specific anti-codon) for a particular amino acid; and 'wobble' base-pairing, i.e. permitting non-standard base-pairing at the 3rd anti-codon position. Lineage: Eukaryota; Metazoa; Arthropoda; Insecta; Blattodea; Blattellidae. The record is from RNAcentral.
GGCCUGGUGGUCUAGAGGUAUGAUUCUCGGUUCGGGUGCGAGAGGUCCCGGGUUCAAAUCCCGGCCAGGCCA